UUUGUUUCAUUAUUCUGAUUAAUAAACUCUCUCUCUUCUAGAGAGUUCUCAAACGCUCCUCCUUCUCUCUAAAUUCUCUCACUAUAUUCUUCAUGAUUCUUCAGCUUAAUCUCAAGGUUUUCAUGGUAUCAGAGCAUAGACGACGAUCCGACUAUGUUUUUACAUUCUUUAUGAUUCUUCAGUUUAAUCUCAAGGUUUUCAUGGUAUCAUAGCCUAGACGACGAUCCGACUAUGUUUUUCUGCAUCUUGUUGUUCUGGUUGAAGUCUCUUUUGAGAUUUUUUGGGGGUGCUUCUGAGACCUUAUGGUCGAUGAAGAUUCCGAUCUAAAUCGGAUGCCUUUCUGAGAAUUUCCUCGUGAUAUCUGAGUAUAUCUUCUCCACUUGAACGUUCUGGGAGAUUUUCCGAUGAUUUUUGGGUGAUUUUUCGGUGACCUAUCGGCUUCUAGGGUUUCUGGUGGUUUAACCUAGCGUUUUACUGCUAUCCGGUGGCUCGAUCUUCACUCAGUGGAUGCUUAGG
This 516-nucleotide long non-coding RNA is filed under the name Nicotiana benthamiana. Its description in RNAcentral is "long non-coding RNA (NBEN_LNC010532)". The record is from RNAcentral. Lineage: Eukaryota; Viridiplantae; Streptophyta; Magnoliopsida; Solanales; Solanaceae.